UACGGAGGGGGCUAGCGUUGUUCGGAAUUACUGGGCGUAAAGGGCGCGUAGGCGGCUAUUCAAGUCAGGCGUGAAAGGCCUGGGCUCAACCCGGGAACUGCGUUUGAUACUGGAUGGCUUGAGUACGGGAGAGGAUGGUGGAAUUCCCAGUGUAGAGGUGAAAUUCGUAGAUAUUGGGAAGAACACCAGUGGCGAAGGCGGCCAUCUGGCCCGGUACUGACGCUGAGGCGCGAAAGCGUGGGGAGCAAACAGG
This 253-nucleotide ribosomal RNA is filed under the name uncultured bacterium. RNAcentral's name for it is "partial 16S ribosomal RNA". It matches the Rfam family "Bacterial small subunit ribosomal RNA", at positions 524 to 776 of the family's 1533-position model. The record is from RNAcentral.